GACGAACGCUGGCGGCGUGCUUAACACAUGCAAGUCGAACGGAAAGGCCCUGCUUUUGUGGGGUGCUCGAGUGGCGAACGGGUGAGUAAAACGUGAGUAACCUGCCCUUGUCUUUGGGAUAACUUCAGGAAACUGGGGCUAAUACCGGAUAGGAGCUCCUGCUGCAUGGUGGGGGUUGGAAAGUUUCGGCGGUUGGGGAUGGACUCGCGGCUUAUCAGCUUGUUGGUGGGGUAGUGGCUUACCAAGGCUUAGACGGGUAGCCGGCCUGAGAGGGUGACCGGGGACAUUGGGACUGAGGUACGGCGCAGACUCCUACGGGAGGCAGCAGGGGGGAAUAUUGCACAGUGGGCGGAAGCCUGAUGCAGCAACGCCGCGUGCGUGAUAACGGGCUUCGGGUUGUAAACCGCUUUGGCCUGUGACGAAGCGGGAGUGACGGUAAUGGGUAAAGAAGCACCGGCUAACUACGUG
This 468-nucleotide ribosomal RNA is filed under the name uncultured bacterium. RNAcentral describes it as "partial 16S ribosomal RNA". It matches the Rfam family "Bacterial small subunit ribosomal RNA", at positions 28 to 507 of the family's 1533-position model. The record is from RNAcentral.